RNAcentral lists this long non-coding RNA (594 nucleotides) under Rattus norvegicus (Norway rat). RNAcentral describes it as "long non-coding RNA NONRATT004700". Lineage: Eukaryota; Metazoa; Chordata; Mammalia; Rodentia; Muridae. The record is from RNAcentral.
GCCCAGCCUGGCGCCUCUGGUGGUGCAGACAGACAGUGCGUCCCCCCUGGGUGCGGGCCAUCUGCCCGGCUUGGCCUUCUCCAGCCACCUGCACGGGCAGCAGUUCUUUGGGCCGUUGGGAGCUGGCCAGCCCCUCUUCCUGCACCCAGGACAAUUUGCCAUGGGCCCCGGAGCCUUCUCCGCCAUGGGCAUGGGUCAUCUGCUAGCCUCGGUGGCAGGCGGCGGUGGCAAUAGCGGGGGCGCUGCGCCCGGAACCGCGGCGGGGCUGGACGCAGGCGGGCUGGGUCCCGCAGCCAGCGCAGCAAGCACCGCGACUCCCUUCCCGUUCCACCUCUCCCAGCACAUGCUGGCAUCUCAGGUAAGGCCUGUGAUCUGCAGGCAGCCGGAGGGUGGCACAGCAGCUUGUUGGUGGCUGAGGUGGGCAGAGAACUUGAGAGAUGCUAUAGGUACUCAGAUCCUCCGAGAAACCAAAAGCUAUCUACAGGAAAGCCAUUUAAGUCCUAAAAGAUUAAAACCGACCAUGAGCUAACCAGGACAUUGCUUCUGAACCCUAUGUGACCUUAGGAAUGUCCCUGGUCCUCUCUGGACCUGUUU